RNAcentral lists this transfer RNA (76 nucleotides) under Clostridia bacterium. RNAcentral describes it as "tRNA-Asn". It matches the Rfam family "tRNA". Rfam says of the family: Transfer RNA (tRNA) molecules are approximately 80 nucleotides in length. Their secondary structure includes four short double-helical elements and three loops (D, anti-codon, and T loops). Lineage: Bacteria; Bacillati; Bacillota; Clostridia. The record is from RNAcentral.
UCCUCCUUAGCUCAGUCGGUAGAGCACUCGACUGUUAAUCGAUAGGUCGUUGGUUCGAGUCCAACAGGGGGAGCCA